GCCUGCAGCCAUAUUGCUCUACAACUCACAACUGGCAACUGGCAACGCACUGAAGCUAAGCAGGUGUGAGCCUGGUCAGUACCUGGAUGGGAGACCUCCUGGGAAAAAUUAAGGUUGCUGCUGGAA
Molecule: ribosomal RNA, 126 nt
Filed under: Lepisosteus oculatus (spotted gar)
Lineage: Eukaryota; Metazoa; Chordata; Actinopteri; Semionotiformes; Lepisosteidae
Source: RNAcentral